UCAGGGUUUGACUCCGGAGAGGGAGCCUGAGAAACGGCUACCACUUCUAAGGAAGGCAGCAGGCGCGCAAAUUACCCAUUCUCGGUACGAGGAGGUAGUGACGAAAAAUACCAAGUUGGGGCUCUUAUGAGUUUCGACAUUGGAAUGAGAACAAUCCAAAUCUUUUAACGAGGAACUAGUGGAGGGCAAGUCUGGUGCCAGCAGCCGCGGUAAUUCCAGCUCCGCAAGUGUAUAUCUAUAUUGCUGAGGUUAAAAAGCUCGUAGUUGGAUCUGCGUGUCUAGCACCUGGUGUGAUCUUUGAUCGCUACUGGGCUGCGACACUUUGUGUGUCGGUUGGCCGUUGAUGCUCUUAACCGGGUGUCUUCGGUGACUGACGAGUUUACUUUGAACAAACUAGAGUGCUCAAAACAGGCGUUUCGCUUGUAUAUUUCUGCAUGGAAUAAUAGAAUAGGACCUUGGUUCUAUUUUGUUGGUUUUCGGAACUGAGGUAAUGAUUAAGAGGGACUGACGGGGGCAUUCGUACUGCGACGUGAGAGGUGAAAUUCUUGGAUCGUCGCAAGACGCACUACUGCGAAGGCAUUUGCCAAGAAUGUUUUCAUUAAUCAAGAACGAAAGUAACGGGUUCGAAGGCGAUCAGAUACCGCCCUAGUCGUUACCGUAAACUAUUGCGACGACGGGCAUGCACGUGUUUUUGAUGACCGUGUAUGAGCGUACCCAGAAAUGCCAGUUUUUGGUGUCCUGGGGGAGUAUAGCUACGCAAGUCCGAAACUUAAAGGAAUUGACGGAAGGGCACCACCAGGGGUGGAGCCUGCGGCUUAAUUUGACCCAACACGGGGAAACUCACCCGGCCCGGACACCGGAAGGAUUGACAGAUUGAGAGCUCUUUCUUGAUUCGGUGGGUGGUGGUGCAUGGCCGUUCUUAGUUGGUGGAGUGAUUUGUCUGGUUAAUUCCGAUAACGAACGAGACUCUGGCCUACUAACUAGUGAGUGGAUCUUCAAGUCCGCUCGACUUCUUAGAGGGACAAGCAGCGUUUAGCUGCAUGAAAAAGAGCAAUAACAGGUCUGUGAUGCCCUUAGAUGUCCGGGGCUGCACGCGCGCUACACUGAAGGAAUCAGCGUGUGGGACUGCCUGGCUUGAAAGAGUCGGGUAAUCCGGUGAAAAUCCUUCGUGAUUGGGAUCGGGACUUGCAAUUAUUUCCCUUGAACGAGGAAUCCCUAGUAAGUACGGGUCAUCAGCUCGUGCUGGUUACGUCCCUGCCCUUUGUACACACCGCCCGUCGCUGCCCGGAACUGAGCCAUUUCGAGAAAAGUGGGGACUGAUGGCUU
RNAcentral lists this ribosomal RNA (1326 nucleotides) under metagenome. Its description in RNAcentral is "SSU rRNA". It matches the Rfam family "Eukaryotic small subunit ribosomal RNA", at positions 370 to 1724 of the family's 1831-position model. The record is from RNAcentral.